This 264-nucleotide long non-coding RNA is filed under the name Lupinus angustifolius (narrow-leaved blue lupine). RNAcentral's name for it is "long non-coding RNA (LANG_LNC000396)". The record is from RNAcentral. Lineage: Eukaryota; Viridiplantae; Streptophyta; Magnoliopsida; Fabales; Fabaceae.
UUUUUUUAGAUAAUGCCACCCAACCCAAUUAAAUAUGGAUAGAUGGGUUCAUUCAACUUCUUUUUGAGUUAAUAUUUUUUGAUAAAUGCCUAUUACAAAUUAUACAUUCUUACUUUUGCAGGUGCAUUACAAAGUAUACAUUCUUACUUUUGCAGGUGCAUUACAAAGUAUGCAUUCUUACUUUUGCAGUGAUAAAAAAUCUGUACAAAACAAACUCGGCUUCGAAGUCGAAGGAUCUUUUAGCAGACACCCAGAGGUAAUCAC